GACGUAGGGCGCGAGCGUUGUCCGGAUUUAUUGGGCGUAAAGAGCUCGUAGGCGGCUUGUCGCGUCGACCGUGAAAACUUGGGGCUCAACCCCAAGCCUGCGGUCGAUACGGGCAGGCUCGAGUUCGGUAGGGGAGACUGGAAUUCCUGGUGUAGCGGUGAAAUGCGCAGAUAUCAGGAGGAACACCGGUGGCGAAGGCGGGUCUCUGGGCCGAUACUGACACUGAGAAGCGAAAGCGUGGGGAGCGAACAGG
Molecule: ribosomal RNA, 253 nt
Filed under: uncultured bacterium
Lineage: Bacteria
Description: partial 16S ribosomal RNA
Rfam family: Bacterial small subunit ribosomal RNA
Source: RNAcentral